AGAGUUUGAUCAUGGCUCAGAUUGAACGCUGGCGGCAGGCCUAACACAUGCAAGUCGAGCGGUAGAGAGAAGCUUGCUUCUCUUGAGAGCGGCGGACGGGUGAGUAAUGCCUAGGAAUCUGCCUGGUAGUGGGGGAUAACGUUCGGAAACGGACGCUAAUACCGCAUACGUCCUACGGGAGAAAGCAGGGGACCUUCGGGCCUUGCGCUAUCAGAUGAGCCUAGGUCGGAUUGGCUAGUUGGUGAGGUAAUGGCUCACCAAGGCGACGAUCCGUAACUGGUCUGAGAGGAUGAUCAGUCACACUGGAACUGAGACACGGUCCAGACUCCUACGGGAGGCAGCAGUGGGGAAUAUUGGACAAUGGGCGAAAGCCUGAUCCAGCCAUGCCGCGUGUGUGAAGAAGGUCUUCGGAUUGUAAAGCACUUUAAGUUGGGAGGAAGGGUUGUAGAUUAAUACUCUGCAAUUUUGACGUUACCGACAGAAUAAGCACCGGCUAACUCUGUGCCAGCAGCCGCGGUAAUACAGAGGGUGCAAGCGUUAAUCGGAAUUACUGGGCGUAAAGCGCGCGUAGGUGGUUUGUUAAGUUGGAUGUGAAAUCCCCGGGCUCAACCUGGGAACUGCAUUCAAAACUGACUGACUAGAGUAUGGUAGAGGGUGGUGGAAUUUCCUGUGUAGCGGUGAAAUGCGUAGAUAUAGGAAGGAACACCAGUGGCGAAGGCGACCACCUGGACUAAUACUGACACUGAGGUGCGAAAGCGUGGGGAGCAAACAGGAUUAGAUACCCUGGUAGUCC
This 793-nucleotide ribosomal RNA is filed under the name uncultured bacterium. RNAcentral's name for it is "bacterial SSU rRNA". It matches the Rfam family "Bacterial small subunit ribosomal RNA", at positions 8 to 796 of the family's 1533-position model. The record is from RNAcentral.